RNAcentral lists this long non-coding RNA (1764 nucleotides) under Olea europaea subsp. europaea. The record is from RNAcentral. Lineage: Eukaryota; Viridiplantae; Streptophyta; Magnoliopsida; Lamiales; Oleaceae.
CUUUUGGAUUUUUNAAAUAAGGUAUAAUGAUAUCGGAUUUUGAAUUUAAUUAAAAAUUUUUGGGUUUUUUAGGCUAUGAGUGCGGUUUGUAGUGGAAAUAUGGGCUUUGAUUAUUAUGAAUGAGUUUGCAUUGAGGACAUUGUACAUGCAAUUAGAUAUGGUGGAGAAUUUUUGCAUUUUUUAGUUUUAUUUUGUUAUGGGUGACAAUUCAGAAGUUCUUCAGGUGGGAGUAGGGGAGGAUUGAUUGAUUGGGUGAUAUGUGAAAUUUCUCAAUCUAUGCUGCCGUGUGAAGUGUGGGGUAUUGAGGUGAUUUUUGAGCGAUCGUGUGUUAGAUCUAUAUACAUGCCUUAAACGCAAAUUCCUACUGUUGGGUAGGGAAAAUGCACUUGAAAGGAUACUAAAAUCUUCGAGAAGUUUGUAGUUAGUACAGAGGCGUUUUAGAAUUGGAAUUUGAAAUGAUUUUUGUGCAUUCCAAUUUCAGGAUAAUAUAAUGCUGUGAACAGAUUAAAAAAAGAUUAAUAUGUAUGCGCAUAUAAGAUUAGAUCUUGGAUGCUUGAGCACAUACUGCCCUUUUAUGUGAAAAGAUAAAAAAAAACAAUGUCCUUUAGGUUUGUAUAUGCAUGCGCGUAUAAGAUUAGAUCUUGGAUGCUUGAGUGUGCUGGCAAUAUCUAUUGCCGUUUCAAUUGAGGGUUUAUAAUCCUGUGGCUGCCACAGACAUUGGUCAUUAUUUCUUUUAAUACAGUUAAUAAUUGGAGAAUGGAGAGGGAAAUAGAAAAUCAGCGUAAACUCAGUGAGUUUUUACUAUUGCAUCAAUGGAUCUUCAUUAUUGAUGUAACUGGGCAUGUGAAGAUGGGUACGAGUCUAAGAAGGUAGUACAUUAGGAGAGUCUUGUUGUGGAGAGGGAGAUAUCAUUUUUGAUACCAAAGUGGAACUUUGGUUAUGUACCUGGUUGCACUCACUUAAGCUCCCAAGAAUAUUAAUUAAUUAAUUUAAUUUUUUUGAGAGAAAAUUGGAAGCGCAAUAAAGUUGUCCUCGUUCUGAAAAACUCAAACUGAACUCAAAGAAAUCCCAAAUGCCAGUGUUUGUUCUCAAGAUAAGCCAAAAUUCGGAGUAAGUCAAGUGAGUACCUUUCUUAUGUGUGGAAACCAUGCAGUCUGCUGUCUUUCCGCCCUCCAGGCACUGUUUCUUCUGGGUGGAGGUGAGCACUAGUACUUUCACACAUAAAUGUUAUUGCUGUUAUAAUACUUUGAUUGGCUUGCUUUACUGGUUAGAGGUGCGUGAUCAUCUUUUCUUGAAAGGAUAGAAAUUUGGUUUACUAUUUGACUUUGGGUGAAAUUUUCCUUUUCCUUCUUUAACAGGACGACGAGCUGUGAUAAAUAAUCAUCUGGCCACUUGUACUUUUAAGGAGUUACUGCCCAUCUAGAGUAUCCAAAUGUAUGUUUUUGGUUCCCAUUUACAUUUUUUAAAUUGCACUGUAUCCAAAAUUAUUACAGUCCUUUUCUCUGUUUGAAAUGCUCGUCUUUCACAUCCGGAUGAAACAAGAGGAUUAAUGUAUUGACUUGUACUGCUGUCAGCUUGUCUGUCGUUAUUCUAAUAAGUUGUUGCCAAACAUUAUUUUCUGCAUCCUUGCAUGUUCAUCGACAUGGCUUACUUGAAGUUAAGCAUUUUGAAAGUAUUACUUGUUUUAGUGAAACCUGUAUUGCAGUUUGCACAUAUAUUUCAAUAUUAUUCUUGUGCCUAGAUGGGAACCUUUUCUUAGUUCUA